AUUUAGUCUGAUAAAAUUCAUGUACAGUGGGGGAAUGCCCCUGCUUAAGCCAUGUAAACGGCAAAUUAUAUCAAUAAAAUUUUAUUUGCCUGUUUUGUCUCUUUUAUUAUCAGCAUUUAUAUUUGGUAUCUUAAUCGAGGGUUCCUUAACACUGAAAGUGUGGGGUAAUUAACAACAGAUUCUUGAGUCUGUUGGAAGCCAUGAACCUAUAAUCCUGAUUUCAAAAUAAAACAUAAACAAAUUUAACCUCUACCAUGAAUGACCACUCGCCCUAAAAACAACCUACGGCGGGGCCGGUUCGUUCGCGGCAGACAAAAUGGCAUGCCAGGUGGGACAUGCCUUCA
Molecule: long non-coding RNA, 344 nt
Filed under: Ananas comosus (pineapple)
Lineage: Eukaryota; Viridiplantae; Streptophyta; Magnoliopsida; Poales; Bromeliaceae
Description: long non-coding RNA (ACOM_LNC019883)
Source: RNAcentral